Non-coding RNA from Globicephala melas (long-finned pilot whale), 439 nucleotides. Lineage: Eukaryota; Metazoa; Chordata; Mammalia; Artiodactyla; Delphinidae. The record is from the annotation of a RefSeq genome assembly.
AUGGCCUGGACCCCUGCCCUCCUCAUGCUCCCCUCUCUCUGCACAGGGUGCCUCUCCCAGCCUGUGCUGACUCAGCUGCCCUCCCUCUCUGCAUCUCUGGGAGCAUCAGCCAGCCUCACCUGCACCCUGAGCAGUGGGUACAUUGUUGGCGGCUACCACAUAUUCUGGUACCAGCAGAAGCCAGGGAGCUCUCCCCGGUACCUCCUGAGGUUCAAGUCAGACUCUGAUAAGCACCAGGGUCCCCAGAUGCUUCUCUGGGUCCAAAGAUGCCUCGGCCAACGCAGGGCUCCUGCUCAUCUCUGGGCUGCAGCCCGAGGACGAGGCUGACUCUUACUGUCAAGUGUAUACAAGUGGUGCUGAGCACCGUGACAGAGACAGAUGGACAGAGACAGAUGGCGAAUGGGACAAAAACCCUGGGCCCCUCGUUUCCAAGCUUUGA